GUCAGAGGGGUGAUGGCUCCCAAGGUCAGAAAGGCAGAAGGUUCCAGAAGGUCAGAAAGGUGAAAGAUCCGAAGGUCAGGAGAGGCGAAGGCGGGCAAAGGCCCCGAAGGGCAAAAGGAACAAGGAUCUGAAGGUUCCGAAGAAAGGCCCAGAAGACCCCCUCCACAAAGACGAUGAUUCCUGUGAAAGAAAUAAAACAAAUGAAUACUGAA
Molecule: long non-coding RNA, 212 nt
Organism: Haliotis rubra (blacklip abalone)
Lineage: Eukaryota; Metazoa; Mollusca; Gastropoda; Lepetellida; Haliotidae
Exons: 2
Source: RefSeq, a predicted model, not a curated record